AGUUCGAUUCUGGCUCAGAUUGAACGUUGGCGGGAUGCUUUACACAUGCAAGUCGAACGGCAGCACGGACUUCGGUCUGGUGGCGAGUGGCGAACGGGUGAGUAAUGUAUCGGAACGUGCCUAGUAGCGGGGAUAACUACGCGAAAGGUAACUAAUACCGCAUACCGCCCCUUCGGGGAAAGCGGGGACCUUUCGGGCCUCGCACUAUUAGAGCGGCCGAUAUCGAUUAGUUAGUUGGUGGGGUAACGGCUCACCAAGGCGACGAUCCGUAGCUGGUCGGUUUUGAGGAGAGUGACGACCAGCCACACUGGGACUGGAGACAUGGCCCAGACUCCUACGGGAGGCAGCAGUGGGGAAUUUUGGACAAUGGGGAAACCCUGAUCCAGUCAUCCGCGUGUGCGAUGAAGGCCUUGCCAAAGCACUUUUGGCGGGAAAAGAAACGGCACGGGGAUAAUACCCGUGCGCAACUGACGGUACCUGCAGAAUAAGCACCGGCUAACUACGUGCCAGCAGCCGCGGCAAUAAUACGUAGGGUGCAAGCGUUAAUCGUGGGAAUUACUGGGCGUAAAGCGUGCGCAGGCGGUUCGGAAAGAAAGAUGCAAAUCCUG
This 608-nucleotide unclassified non-coding RNA is filed under the name uncultured Bordetella sp. Its description in RNAcentral is "partial 16S-23S ribosomal RNA intergenic spacer". It matches the Rfam family "Bacterial small subunit ribosomal RNA", at positions 10 to 603 of the family's 1533-position model. Lineage: Bacteria; Pseudomonadati; Pseudomonadota; Betaproteobacteria; Burkholderiales; Alcaligenaceae. The record is from RNAcentral.